ACGAACCUUCGGGUUAGUGGCGGACGGGUGAGUAACGCGUGACAAUCUGCCCUCAGGAGGGGGAUAACGGCUGGAAACGGCCGCUAAUACCCCAUAUGCCGAGAGGUGAAAUGAAUUUCGCCUGAGGAUGAGCUCGCGUCUGAUUAGCUAGUUGGUGUGGUAAAGGCUCACCAAGGCAUCGAUCAGUAGCUGGUCUGAGAGGAUGAUCAGCCACACUGGGACUGAGACACGGCCCAGACCCCUACGGGAGGCAGCAGUGGGGAAUUUUCCGCAAUGGGCGAAAGCCUGACGGAGCAACGCCGCGUGAGGGAUGAAGGCCUCUGGGCUGUAAACCUCUUUUAUCAAGGAAGAAGAUCUGACGGUACUUGAUGAAUAAGCCACGGCUAAUUCCGUGCCAGCAGCCGCGGUAAUACGGGAGUGGCAAGCGUUAUCCGGAAUUAUUGGGCGUAAAGCGUCCGCAGGCGGUCUUGUAAGUCUGUCGUUAAAGCGUGGAGCUUAACUCCAUUUCGGCGGUGGAAACUACAAGACUAGAGUGUGGUAGGGGCAGAGGGAAUUCCCGGUGUAGCGGUGAAAUGCGUAGAUAUCGGGAAGAACACCAGUGGCGAAGGCGCUCUGCUGGACCAUAACUGACGCUCAUGGACGAAAGCCAGGGGAGCGAAAGGGAUUAGAUACCCCUGUAGUCCUGGCCGUAAACGAUGAACACUAGGUGUCGGGGGAAUCGACCCCCUCGGUGUCGUAGCCAACGCGUUAAGUGUUCCGCCUGGGGAGUACGCACGCAAGUGUGAAACUCAAAGGAAUUGACGGGGGCCCCCACAGCGGUGGAGU
RNAcentral lists this ribosomal RNA (825 nucleotides) under uncultured cyanobacterium. RNAcentral's name for it is "bacterial SSU rRNA". It matches the Rfam family "Bacterial small subunit ribosomal RNA", at positions 66 to 938 of the family's 1533-position model. The record is from RNAcentral. Lineage: Bacteria; Bacillati; Cyanobacteriota.